AUCUCCACACCGCGUACUGUCU
Molecule: microRNA, 22 nt
Filed under: Pristionchus pacificus
Lineage: Eukaryota; Metazoa; Nematoda; Chromadorea; Rhabditida; Neodiplogasteridae
Description: ppc-miR-8261-5p
Source: miRBase by way of RNAcentral